This 476-nucleotide ribosomal RNA is filed under the name uncultured bacterium. RNAcentral's name for it is "bacterial SSU rRNA". It matches the Rfam family "Bacterial small subunit ribosomal RNA", at positions 25 to 518 of the family's 1533-position model. The record is from RNAcentral.
CAGGACGAACGCUGGCGGCGUGCCUAACACAUGCAAGUCGAGCGAGGAGAUUCCUCGGGAUGAUCCUAGCGGCGGACGGGUGAGUAACACGUGGGCAACCUGCCUCAUAGAGAGGAAUAGCCUUCCGAAAGGGAGAUUAAUACCUCAUAACAUUGCAGUUUCGCAUGGAACAGCAAUUAAAGGAGUAAUCCGCUAUGAGAUGGGCCCGCGGCGCAUUAGCUAGUUGGUGAGGUAACGGCUCACCAAGGCGACGAUGCGUAGCCGACCUGAGAGGGUGAUCGGCCACAUUGGGACUGAGACACGGCCCAGACUCCUACGGGAGGCAGCAGUGGGGAAUAUUGCACAAUGGGGGAAACCCUGAUGCAGCCAACGCCGCGUGAGUGAUGACGGCCUUCGGGUUGUAAAGCUCUGUCUUCAGGGACGAUAAUGACGGUACCUGAGGAGCAAGCCACGGCUAACUACGUGCCAGCAGCCGC